AACAAGGCGUACCUGCGGACCUGCGGAAGGAUCAUUACCGAGUUAUACAACUCAUCAACCCUGUGAACAUACCUAAAACGUUGCCUCGGCGGGAACAGACGGCCCCGUAACACGGGCCGCCCCCGCCAGAGGACCCCCUAACUCUGUUUCUAUAAUGUUUUUUCUGAGUAAACAAGCAAAUAAAUCAAAACUUUUAGCAAUGGAUCU
RNAcentral lists this unclassified non-coding RNA (207 nucleotides) under soil metagenome. RNAcentral describes it as "partial contains 5.8S ribosomal RNA, internal transcribed spacer 2, and large subunit ribosomal RNA". The record is from RNAcentral.